CCCUUAGACGUUCUGGGCCGCACGCGCGCUGCACUGACCAGUGCAACAAGCAUCCGUCCUUGGCCGACAGGCUCGGGCAAUCUUUGAACGCUGGUCGUGAUGGGGAUAGACUUUUGCAAUUUUUGGUCUUCAACGAGGAAUUCCUAGUAAACGCAAGUCAUCAACUUGCAUUGAUUACGUCCCUGCCCUUUGUACACACCGCCCGUCGCACCUACCGAUUGAAUGGUCCGGUGAAGCCUCCGGAUUGGCGCGCACCUCGGUGCCGCCGAGAAGUUGGCUAAACCUUACCAUUUAGAGGAAGGUGAAGUCGUAACA
Molecule: ribosomal RNA, 315 nt
Filed under: uncultured eukaryote
Lineage: Eukaryota
Description: partial 18S ribosomal RNA
Rfam family: Eukaryotic small subunit ribosomal RNA
Source: RNAcentral